Non-coding RNA from Mycena epipterygia, 90 nucleotides. Lineage: Eukaryota; Fungi; Basidiomycota; Agaricomycetes; Agaricales; Mycenaceae. The record is from the annotation of a GenBank genome assembly.
GGCCUGGUAGCGGAUGGUCCGCGCCUGCUUUCAAUACUUGAUUUUCGGUAUGGCGUGCAGGAGUCGCUCGUUCGAAUCGAGCCCGGGUCG